RNAcentral lists this unclassified non-coding RNA (211 nucleotides) under Hevea brasiliensis (rubber tree). The record is from RNAcentral. Lineage: Eukaryota; Viridiplantae; Streptophyta; Magnoliopsida; Malpighiales; Euphorbiaceae.
GAUUGUUCUAUUGGUUCUACAUCAUUACCCAAUCUAGGAAAUAAAAGGUUGCUUAAUGCAUUUAAAAUAGGAUUUUUACUAUAGCAGCCACAUACAAAGCAAAACAUAGAAGCAAAAAUGGCAUCGGUGACUUAUAACAAAUUUCUUUUUGAGCAGAACUAUACUCUCUUUCAUUCUCUCUGAGCCCAAAAAUUUUUAAAAAAAUUAAAAA